Molecule: non-coding RNA, 1852 nt
Organism: Kogia breviceps (pygmy sperm whale)
Lineage: Eukaryota; Metazoa; Chordata; Mammalia; Artiodactyla; Physeteridae
Source: RefSeq, a predicted model, not a curated record
AGUACUAGCUCUCAAGGGCAAAAGCUGGGAUCGCUCCAUCCGGGCACCUCGUGAGUGCCUGGCACCCUGAGAUACUUUUUGAACGAGGGAAUGACCGAAACAUUAAACAUUUAAUUUAAAAUUGGCCGUAUCCAUUAAUUUUGUUAAAAGCCAAACCUUAACGAGAAUGUGACAGCUUGGGGCAAAACCCCUCUUCUUGCACAUCCCAGCGUGGAUCUUGGAAAAAGGGAGAGCUGGCAGAGUCUGGCUUCGAGGAGGUUAGGGAUCCGGAAAUACUGAGCGACGUGCCCACGUCCACAAAAUCACAACUAGCACACUUAAAACAUGAGAACACGACACCGAAUGGAAAGGCAUCUAUUCUUAGCCUGUACACCUGUCCCUCGACAUCAGCCUUCUAGAGCGCGUAUCCUUCGUGUUUAAAUCUUCUCUAAUGACCCAGAGCAUGUUUAUACGGAAUGUAAGUAUCUCUUGUGGAUAAAUCUCUUGAAGCCCGUACCAGCGGGGAUUUUAGAUGCUACUCCAAGCUUGCAUUCGGUAGGACCAAACAUUACUACUCUUCUAGGAACUGCGUAGGAUGAUGAUCUGCCCAGAGUGAGAUGACGAUGAAAGUAGGUUUCUGACGAGAAGCUGGUGAGGCUCAGGUCGACUUAGCCGCCGGGUCACAUUGGGAGGCGAGCCUGGCCCCGGGGAACUCACAGGGUCACCUCGAGGGAAGCAGGGACUCCGGCACUUCUGCACCCUGGAAAGGCAAGGGCUUUCCACCAACUACCGCAGAAUUUUAAAAGUACAUUUGCCUUCACGAUGUCUUUGCUUUAGACUUUUCUGUGGAGUCCAGACCUAGCGCACAGGGCGGGGCCAGGAAGGGCAGGGCUGUGGUUGGGGCGGGGCCAGGGGCGGGGCCUAUGCGUGGGGCGCAGCUGGGUGGAGCCUGGGGUCCAGCAUGGCCUUGGGGGGGUUUGACUUCCGGUUCUGCUGUUUCCAGCCAGGUAUGGCCCUGGCAAGACACUUAACUGUUUCUGUGCCUUCCUGGCACUUCCAUCCAUGAAAUGAGUAAACAGCAGAACCUCCCCGGCUGCCGUCAGGGUUAAGUGGGUGGGUCUGCAUGCUUGGCACAGAGGAAAUACCAGUGAGGGUAAAUAUCAUUACUUCUGCCCUGAGGUGACCUACUGUUUCCUUCUAGAACCUGAGCUCUCUGCAUUAGGCCACCUGUUUCUCGUGAGAACAGUUAUUUCUGUGAGACUCUGGGCUCGUCCAAUUCUACAAAACCGAUGUAAUAAAUUCUGACUCAUGCACUUUGAGGCCACAUCUCCUGGGUUUGAGUCCUGGCUCUAGCACUUACUAUGGGGCCUCAGAAGCUUCUGAACCUCUCCUUUUUUCUCAUCUAUAAGGUGGAAACAAUAAUACUACUUAUCACAUAGGGUUAUUGUGAAGAUAAAUGAGAUGAUGUAUGGAAAGCACUUAGAAUAGCCGCUGCCAUGCUGCAAAUGCUCACUACCUUUUAGCUACUUCUCCUCGGACUAUUUUCCUUGACCUGCCAUUUUGCUGAAGAUAAUUAAGGCCAAGGAUAAAUUAUAAUCCACCUAAGAGAAUGCAAACUUGAGGCAGCAGAACUCCCGAAUGUCAAGAAAGUGCUUGGCUCUUUCAGAAGAGAGAAAGCACUGCAAAAAAACUCACUCAACUUUCACGAGUGAGACCAUCAGAAUCCUCAGAUCAUAAGCAACACAGAAGAAUGUCCAACAGAAAAGAUCAGUGCAGCCCCAGACAGGGCUGGCCCCAGAAUGACAGGCCAGGAACUCGAAGAUUUACUCGCUGUGUUUUUUGGUUUACAUAUAUAAUAUGGAAAGUGGGAAAA